Molecule: ribosomal RNA, 1128 nt
Filed under: Triticum aestivum (bread wheat)
Lineage: Eukaryota; Viridiplantae; Streptophyta; Magnoliopsida; Poales; Poaceae
Description: partial small subunit ribosomal RNA
Source: RNAcentral
AUGAGUGAGCCAACAGGCCUUGCUGAGGCUUUCGAGAAGCUAGCUAAGAUCCUUGAGGAGUCGAAAUCUGGGGCCAUCGUUCCUCGACAGGAAGUGGCUCAGAAGAUCGAACUGUCGCCCAUGGACAUGAAGUUAGAGGGGGCUACCAAUUAUCUGAGCUGGUCCCGAAGGGCGUUGCUGGCUGUGGAACAGAAGGAGCUUGAUGGGCACUUGUUGGGUGCUGUUGCUGAACCAGGAGACAAGACUACUGUGGAGGGAAAGAGAUGGAAGGUCAUAAACUCUGUGCUCAUUGGCUGGUUGUUGAACUCGGUGGUGCCCCCCAUUGGACGCUCUGUGGAGGGGCUAUCCACAUCCGCUGCGAUAUGGACGACUCUGUCCACCUUGUACUCAGGUAAGGGCAAUGUCAUGCUCAUUGCUCAGAUUGAGGGGAAGAUCAGUCGGCUGCAUCAAGGUGAUGACAUGUCAGUGAUGACAUAUGUGGCAGAGCUGCAGGCUUUGUGGGCAGAGCAGGAUAACUGUGACCCUCUGGAACUCUAUGAUGCGGCUUGCAUCGAGUCAGGGCGCAAGUGGAUUGCACGCAGGCGUGUGCUGAAACUGUUGGAGGGGCUUAGAGGUUGCUUUCAUGGCAGGAGGGCAUCCCUGUUGCACCAACCUCUCCUGCCCUCUAUUGAGGAGACUAUUGCUGCAAUGUCUCAAGAGGAGGUGUGGCUAUCUCUUGAGCAUGCAGACAUGAAGGUUGUGCCGGCUUCGACAUUUGCAGUCACUGAGCGCAUGGAGUGGAGCGAUCCCAACAAAUGUCAUAUCUGUGGGGAGGUAGGUCACUGGAAGUGGGCGUGUCCAACUCGUGGCAGAGGCAGGGGAUACGACAGAGGGGGAACUGGCAGAGGCAGGCGUGGUAGAGGCAGAGGUGGAUACUCAGGGACCUCAAGGGGCCAGGCUUCUAUGGGUAGAGGUGGCUACUCAGGACACUUAGGGGAUCAGAGGGCUCACAUGACAGUGGCAGGAGACAUUGGGACGUCACAAGGCAAAGAUGCAGCUGAUGCUGACUAUGGAGACUUUGCUCUCUGGGCCUCCACUGAUGAAGGAGCGCCAGACGAGCCAGACGGUUGGGACUGGCACCAGGCGUAG